GAUGAACGCUGGCGGCGUGCCUAAUACAUGCAAGUCGAGCGAACGGACGAGAAGCUUGCUUCUCUGAUGUUAGCGGCGGACGGGUGAGUAAAACGUGGAUAACCUACCUAUAAGACUGGGAUAACUUCGGGAAACCGGAGCUAAUACCGGAUAAUAUUUUGAACCGCAUGGUUCAAAAGUGAAAGACGGUCUUGCUGUCACUUAUAGAUGGAUCCGCGCUGCAUUAGCUAGUUGGUAAGGUAACGGCUUACCAAGGCAACGAUGCAUAGCCGACCUGAGAGGGUGAUCGGCCACACUGGAACUGAGACACGGUCCAGACUCCUACGGGAGGCAGCAGUAGGGAAUCUUCCGCAAUGGGCGAAAGCCUGACGGAGCAACGCCGCGUGAGUGAUGAAGGUCUUCGGAUCGUAAAACUCUGUUAUUAGGGAAGAACAUUUGUGUAAGUAACUGUGCACAUCUUGACGGUACCUAAUCAGAAAGCCACGGCUAACUACGUG
RNAcentral lists this ribosomal RNA (497 nucleotides) under uncultured bacterium. RNAcentral's name for it is "partial 16S ribosomal RNA". It matches the Rfam family "Bacterial small subunit ribosomal RNA", at positions 28 to 507 of the family's 1533-position model. The record is from RNAcentral.